RNAcentral lists this ribosomal RNA (877 nucleotides) under uncultured archaeon. RNAcentral describes it as "bacterial SSU rRNA". It matches the Rfam family "Archaeal small subunit ribosomal RNA", at positions 21 to 903 of the family's 1478-position model. The record is from RNAcentral.
CCUGACUGCUAUCGGAUUGAUACUAAGCCAUGCGAGUCUUUGUAGUAAUACAAGGCAGACGGCUCAGUAACACGUAGUCAACCUACCCUAUGGACAAGAAUAAUCUCGGGAAACUGGGCAUAAUUCUUGAUAGAUCAUAAUGCCUGGAAUGGUUUAUGGUUAAAAUGAUUCGUCGCCAUAGGAUGGGACUGCGGCCUAUCAGCUUGUUGGUGAGGUAAUGGCCCACCAAGGCGAUUACAGGUACGGGCUCUGAGAGGAGAAGCCCGGAGAUGGGUACUGAGACACGGACCCAGGCCCUAUGGGGCGCAGCAGGCGAGAAAACUUUGCAAUGUGCGAAAGCACGACAAGGUUAAUCCGAGUGAUUUCUGCUAAAGAAAUCUUUUGCCAGUCAUAAAACCACUGGUGAAUAAGGGGUGGGCAAGUUCUGGUGUCAGCCGCCGCGGUAAAACCAGCACCUCAAGUGGUCAGGAUGAUUAUUGGGCCUAAAGCAUCCGUAGCCGGCUUUGUAAGUUUUCGGUUAAAUCCAUGUGCUCAACGCAUGGGCUGCCGAAAAUACUGCAUGGCUAGGGAGUGGGAGAGGUAGACGGUACUCAGUAGGAAGGGGUAAAAUCCUUUGAUCUAUUGACGACCACCUGUGGCGAAGGCGGUCUACCAGAACACGUUCGACGGUGAGGGAUGAAAGCUGGGGGAGCAAACCGGAUUAGAUACCCGGGUAGUCCCAGCUGUAAACGAUGCAGACUCGAUGAUGCAUUGGCAUAAUAGCCAGUGCAGUGUCGCAGGGAAGCCGUUAAGCCUGCCGCCUGGGAAGUACGUACGCAAGUAUGAAACUUAAAGGAAUUGGCGGGGGAGCACCACCAAGGGGUGAAGCCUGCGGUUC